This 2766-nucleotide long non-coding RNA is filed under the name Salmo salar (Atlantic salmon). RNAcentral describes it as "lncRNA (ENSSSAG00000101543.1)". Lineage: Eukaryota; Metazoa; Chordata; Actinopteri; Salmoniformes; Salmonidae. The record is from RNAcentral.
GGGUCAUGUCAGUCUCAUCGGCAUAACUAAGAUCAUCGCCGAAACAAAGACGGUUCCGCUGAGUUCUUCUGCAGAGUUCUCAGAGGAAGGAAAGAUAGGAAGGCUCCACACCACUCUCUCACUUGAGUUCCUCCGCAUGCCGUACGGCAUCUCCACUGGCAGUGAGGUCUUCCAGAGAUCGAUGGAGCAUCUGUUUGCUGGGCAGCCAUGUAAGAUAGUGGACGACAUCCUGGUGUGGGGGACACACACUGGAUGAACACGAUGAGCGCCUCAAACAGGUCCUCAACAGGAUUAGGGCUGUCAACGUGAAGCUGAAUCCAGAGAAGUGCAGAUUCAGGCUCCAUAACAUUCCCUACGUCGGGCAACUUCUCACAGCCAACAGAGUGAAACCUGACCUGGAAAAGACAGGCCAUCAUGCAGAUGCCCAAGCCAGCAGAAAAGCAGACACUGCAGCACUUUCUGGGUCUGACUAACUAUCUAAGUUCACGCCACAAUACAGUGAGGUGAUGGGGCUCCUCUAUCAGGAUACUGAAUGAUGCUGUAAGGAGCAACAUGACACUGCCCUGACCAAACUGAAAGAGUUGCUGUCGAAGUACUGGAGCACCGGUUAGCUAUGAUGUGGGCAAACCAGUGAUGAUAUCUGCAGAUGCAUCCCAGCAUGGUCUCGGAGAAAUAUGUCUACAAAUAAAAUUGUAUUUGUCACAUGCUUCGUAAACAACAGUGGAAUGCUUACUUAUGGGCCCUUCCCAACAAUGCAGAGAGAAAAAUAUAGAAAAAGAAUAACACAAGGAACAAAUACACAAUGAAUAACAAUAACUUGGCUGUAUGCAGAGGGUACCAGUACCGAGUUGAUGUGCAGGGGUAAGAGGUACAGUUGAAGUCGGAAGUUUACAUACAACUCAGCCAAAUACAUUUAAACUCAGUUUUUCACAAUUCCUGACAUUUAAUCCUAUUAAAAUUCCCUGUCUUAGGUCAGUUAGAUCACCAGUUUAUUUUAAGAAUGUGAAAUGUCAGGAUAAUAGUAGAGAGAAUGAUUUAUUUCAGCUUUUAAUUCUUUCAUCACAUUCCCCCUGGAUCAGAAGUUUACAUACACUUAGUAUUUGGUAGCAUUGCCUUUAAAUUGUUUAACUUGGGUCAAACGUUCAGGUAGCCUUCCACAAGCUUUCCACAAUAAGUUUUGGUGAAUUUUGGCCCAUUCCUCCUGACAGAGCUGGUGUAACUGAGUCAGGUUUGUAGGCCUCCUUGCUCACACACGCUUUAUCAGUUCUGCCCACACAUUUUCUAUAGGAUUGAGGUCAAGGCUUGUGAUGGCCACUCCAAUACCUUGACUUUGUUGUCCUUAAGCCAUUUUGCCACAACUUUGGAAGUAUGGUUUGGGUCAUUGUCCAUUUGGAAGACCCAUUUGCGACCAAGCUUUAACUUCCUGACUGAUGUCUUGAGAUGUAGCUUCAAUAUAUCCACAUAAUUUUCCUUCCUCGUGUUGCCAUCUAUUUUGUGAAGAAGCACCAGUCCCUCCUGCAGCAAAGCACCCCCAGAGCAUGAUGCUGCCACCCCCAUGCUACACGGUUGGGAUGGUGUUCUUCGGCUUGCAAGCCUCCCCCUUUUUCCUCCAAACAUAACGAUGGUCAUUAUGGCCAAACAGUUGAAUUUUUGUUUCAUCAGACCAGAGGACAUUUCUCCAAAAAGUACGAUCUUUGUGCCCAUGUGCAGUUGCAAACCGUAGUCUGGCUUUUUUAUUGCAGUUUUGGAGCAGUGGCUUCUUCCUUGCUGAGCGGCCUUUCAGGUUAUGUCGAUAUAGGACUCGUUUUACUGUGGAUAUAGAUACUUUUGUACAGCAUGUUCACAAGGUCAUUUGCUGUUGUUCUGGAAUUGAUUUGCACUUUUCGCACCAAAGUACGUUCAUCUCUAGGAGACAGAAUGUGUCUCAUUCCAUGAGCGGUAUGACUGCUGCAUGGUCCCAUGGUGUUUAUACUUGCAUACUAUUGUUUGUACAGAUGAACGUGGUACCUUCAGGCAUUUGGAAUUUGCUCCCAAGGAUGAACCAGACUUGUGGAGGUCUACACUUUUUUUCUGAGGUCUUGGCUGAUAAUUUUUUUCCCCCCAUGAUAUCAAGCAAAGAGGCACUGAGUUUGAAGGUAGGCCUUGAAAUACAUCCACAGGUACACCUCCAAUUGACUCAAAUGAUGUCAAUUAGCCUAUCAGAAGCGUCUAAAGCCAUCACAUCAUUUUCUGGAAUUUUCCAAGCUGUUUAAAGGCACAGUCAACUUAGUGUAUGUGAACUUCUGACCCAUUGGAAUUUUGAUACAGUGAAAUAAUCUGUCUGUAAACAAUUGUUUGAAAAAUGUAUUGUGUCAUGCACAAAGUAGAUGUCCUAACUGACUUGCCAAAACUAUAGUUUGUUAACAAGAAAUUUGUGGAGUGGUUGAAAACUUCCAACUUCAACUGUAGGUAUUCAUCUUGAUGAUCGGAUAGUCUCGAACGGAGAUCAUCCAGUUCUCCAGUGACUGCACAUUCGCCAACAGAACCGAGGUCAAUGGCGGUCUAUUUGUUCACUGACGUAAUCUUGUUAGAAGGCCGCCUCGCCUGCUUAUUUUGCAUGGCCAUUUUCUCUUUCGAGUCCAGGGGAUUAGGGCCUGUUCCAGUGUAAUCACUGUUCUGAUGUCCAGAAGCCGUUUUAGGUCAUAGACAUUAUGUAAGGACAGACAAAAAACACGCAAAAUGGCAGAAUUGGUCAGGAGCCCAUAAAAACUCUGCUUCCCUUAUCAG